This 83-nucleotide transfer RNA is filed under the name Ixodes scapularis (black-legged tick). It matches the Rfam family "tRNA". From Rfam's summary of the family: Transfer RNA (tRNA) molecules are approximately 80 nucleotides in length. Their secondary structure includes four short double-helical elements and three loops (D, anti-codon, and T loops). The record is from Rfam by way of RNAcentral. Lineage: Eukaryota; Metazoa; Arthropoda; Arachnida; Ixodida; Ixodidae.
GCAGUAGUGGCCGAGUUGUUAAGGCGAUGGACUAGAAAUCCAUUGGGGGUCUCCCCGCACAGGUUCGAAUCAUGUCGAUUGCG